AGGACGAACGCUGGCGGCGUGCUUAACACAUGCAAGUGGAGCGACGAACCAGGGCUUGCCCUGGGGCAGAGCCGCGAACGGGUGAGUAACACGUGGGUUACCUGCCUUGAUGACCGGGACAACCCGAGGAAACUCGGGCUAAUACCGGAUGUGCCCGCAAGGGGAAAGGAAGCUUCGGCCUCCGCAUCAAGAUGGGCCCGCGGCCCAUUAGCUUGUUGGUGAGGUAACGGCUCACCAAGGCUUCGAUGGGUAGCUGGUCUGAGAGGACGAUCAGCCACACUGGGACUGAGACACGGCCCAGACUCCUACGGGAGGCAGCAGUGGGGAAUCUUGCGCAAUGCGCGAAAGCGUGACGCAGCAACGCCGCGUGGGGGAAGAAGGCUUUCGGGUUGUAAACCCCUUUCAGUUGGGACGAAGCUUCGCCGGUGAAUAGCCGGCUGGAGUGACGGUACCUUCACAAGAAGCACCGGCUAACUACGUGCCAGCAGCCGCGGU
This 495-nucleotide ribosomal RNA is filed under the name uncultured bacterium. RNAcentral's name for it is "SSU rRNA". It matches the Rfam family "Bacterial small subunit ribosomal RNA", at positions 26 to 521 of the family's 1533-position model. The record is from RNAcentral.